CUGGAAUUCACUUCCAUUGAAACGACAGUUACUGGAAGACGUGUGCGUUCUACUGGGAUGAUGUUUGUGCCUCUAUUGUGCAAGAGUGUAUCCUAACGCGUAUUAUUUAAGAAUUCAUCUUCCACCUUUCACGAUUUCUCCAAGGGAAAUAAGAAGUUACCGUCAUGACUAAAAGAGGAGUUUCCGUCUUUAUAUUGAUGCUGCUUAUGGUUCAAGCAGCAACAGCUGAUCCCUGGUGUUACGUCACGCCCCUUCUGGGGGCGGGGGCAGCUGUGGGGGCCAUGAUGCGGUCCGUCGGCUCUAGAACCAUUCAUGGAUUUAAAGGGGUGGUAACUGCGAGUACAGCAGGCGUAGCGGGCGCCUUUGUCGCCUCCUACUUGUUCCCGUGCGGCGACUGUGGCUGCUUGGACAUGGAAUGAGAAGGUUACAGACAAGCGCAAAAGAUAUCCAUCAUUGCGCCAUCAACACAAAGGGAGCAAAAUAUGGCAAACAAUGACGUCUGAAAAUGGCCAUUGCUACAAUUUAUGGAUUCAAAAUAUUAUAUUAUAUUUUUAUUAUAGUUCUCGAUUUCAAAGGAAUUUACAUAGGCACGGCCUUCCUUGGUCGUUAUCUGAAAAUGAGUUGGAUUUUCUUAGCCCAAUUUGAAAGUUACGUACUUUUUAUUAUUAAUCAUGAAAUGAAUAACUGAACAAGCGAUCAUCUAACUCCUUAGAUUGUAAAAAGAAAUUGGGCUGCCAGUCAUCCCUAACAUAGUUCUAUUUUGCACCUCGAUAUUAUUUUUGCAAGGAGACUACGUCAUGGUUCAUUUACGAGUACACGUAGUAGGCAUGACAUGGACAAACAAAUAAAAUAAACAGGUGGGACUUGCGACCAAAUA
Long non-coding RNA from Patiria miniata (bat star), 877 nucleotides. RefSeq lists it as uncharacterized. The transcript is spliced from 3 exons. The record is from RefSeq and is a predicted model, not a curated record. Lineage: Eukaryota; Metazoa; Echinodermata; Asteroidea; Valvatida; Asterinidae.